Molecule: ribosomal RNA, 254 nt
Filed under: uncultured bacterium
Lineage: Bacteria
Description: partial 16S ribosomal RNA
Rfam family: Bacterial small subunit ribosomal RNA
Source: RNAcentral
CGGAGGGUGCAAGCGUUAUCCGGAUUCACUGGGUUUAAAGGGUGCGUAGGUGGACAGGUAAGUCAGUGGUGAAAUCUCCAAGCUUAACUUGGAAACUGCCGUUGAUACUAUCUGUCUUGAAUAUCGUGGAGGUAAGCGGAAUAUGUCAUGUAGCGGUGAAAUGCUUAGAUAUGACAUAGAACACCGAUUGCGAAGGCAGCUUACUACACGAUCAUUGACACUGAGGCACGAAAGCGUGGGGAGCAAACAGGAUU